This 794-nucleotide long non-coding RNA is filed under the name Mus musculus (house mouse). Its description in RNAcentral is "long non-coding RNA chr18:40539785-40540579". Lineage: Eukaryota; Metazoa; Chordata; Mammalia; Rodentia; Muridae. The record is from RNAcentral.
ACUUUGAAUUCUAUGGGGGACACUCAUAGUAUACAACUAAGGAAACCCUGUCUAGGCCUCAGGGAUACUCACCCCAGGCUGGCUUCAGCAUUAAGAGAGAGCUGCUCCUAAGACUGCUUGCCCUUCUGUGUACUGGCACCACAGCAAGUUUCCAAAGGCUAUGCACAUGUGUUCAUACAGAUGUGUCUAUGUAUCCUUUUGCUUUUUUAAGUUUGACUUUUAGGCAAAUAUUUGUUUUUUUUUAAAUUCAAGUCAGAUAAAAAGUACAAAUACAUUGGCUUCCCGUAAUAUCUCAUGAUUACUCUUCUAUGAUGAGGAGAGACAGAGAUAAAGCAAAGAAAUGAUAAUGAAAUACAAGAGUGUGUGUGUAUGGGUAUGUGUAUGUGUGUGUGUGUGUACGUGUGUAAGGAGCAUGUGUGUGUAUGUGUUUUGUGUUGGUGUAUAAAUUACAUGUAUAUAUGUAUAUAUGUAUGUACAUCUAUCUAGAUGUAUAUAUAGAUUGCUAUAUAUCUAUACAUAUUUAUACACAUAAACACAUAACUUGAAACUUUAAAAUUUUCAGUUUAGGAAAUUAAUUAUCACAUUUUAUAUUAGUUUCCUAGAUAGUUUAUUGUAGUUCUGGUUUCCAGAAUUCUCUUCUACUAUGAAUGUAUAUAUUUAUUAAUGAUACAGAGAAUAUAAUACAAAUACCUAUAAAAAACAAAGAAAUAAACAAAAAUGUAUUUAGAAAAAUGCCAUACCAUUGGUUGGAAUUUCAACCUAUGCGUUUCAAAAUUGUCCACUUCAGAAACAAA